Molecule: ribosomal RNA, 253 nt
Filed under: uncultured bacterium
Lineage: Bacteria
Description: partial 16S ribosomal RNA
Rfam family: Bacterial small subunit ribosomal RNA
Source: RNAcentral
UACGAAGGGGGCUAGCGUUGCUCGGAUUGACUGGGCGUAAAGGGCGCGUAGGCGGUUUGUACAGUCAGGUGUGAAAUUCCCGGGCUCAACCUGGGGGCGGCACUUGAGACGUAGGAACUGGAGUGAGGAAGAGGGUCGUGGAAUUCCCAGUGUAGAGGUGAAAUUCGUAGAUAUUGGGAAGAACACCAGUGGCGAAGGCGGCUCACUGGCCCGGUACUGACGCUGAGGUGCGAAAGCGUGGGGAGCAAACAGG